GUAGCAUAAUCAUUAGGUUUUUAAUUGGGAUCUUGUAUGAAUGAUUGGACAAGAGAAGUACUGUCUUUGUAUUGAAACUUGAAUUUAACUUUUAAGUGAAAAGGCUUAAAUAUACUAGAGGGACGAUAAGACCCUAUAAAACUUUACAUUUAUAUUAAAUUUUAUGGAAUUUGAAGAUUAUAAUUAUUAAAUUUAAUUUUUUGUUAUGUUGGGGAGACAAAAGCUAUAAUUAUGUAUAACUGCUUUUUAAGGGAAACAAAAAUAAAUGGAGAAAUUAAAGAUCCUUUAUUGAGAUUGUAAGAUUAAGUUACUUUAGGGAUAACAGCGUUAUUUUUUUUGAGAGUUCAUAUUGAAAAAAGAGAUUGCGACCUCGAUGUUGAAUUAAAAUAUCUUU
Molecule: ribosomal RNA, 394 nt
Filed under: Potamonautes perlatus
Lineage: Eukaryota; Metazoa; Arthropoda; Malacostraca; Decapoda; Potamonautidae
Description: partial 16S ribosomal RNA
Source: RNAcentral